GCACCGGCUAACUCCGUGCCAGCAGCCGCGGUAAUACGGAGGGUGCGAGCGUUAAUCGGAAUUACUGGGCGUAAAGCGCAUGCAGGCGGCCUGUUAAGUCAGAUGUGAAAGCCCGGGGCUUAACCUCGGAAUUGCAUUUGAAACUGGCAGGCUAGAGUCUUGUAGAGGGGGUAGAAUUUCAGGUGUAGCGGUGAAAUGCGUAGAGAUCUGAAGGAAUACCAGUGGCGAAGGCGGCCCCCUGGACAAAGACUGACGCUCAGAUGCGAAAGCGUGGGGAGCAAACAGGAUUAGAUACCCUGGUAG
RNAcentral lists this ribosomal RNA (303 nucleotides) under uncultured bacterium. RNAcentral's name for it is "bacterial SSU rRNA". It matches the Rfam family "Bacterial small subunit ribosomal RNA", at positions 490 to 793 of the family's 1533-position model. The record is from RNAcentral.